This 103-nucleotide non-coding RNA is filed under the name Salinicoccus halodurans. RNAcentral describes it as "TPP sequence". It matches the Rfam family "TPP riboswitch aptamer (THI element)". Rfam says of the family: Vitamin B(1) in its active form thiamin pyrophosphate (TPP) is an essential coenzyme that is synthesised by coupling of pyrimidine and thiazole moieties in bacteria. The record is from RNAcentral. Lineage: Bacteria; Bacillati; Bacillota; Bacilli; Caryophanales; Staphylococcaceae.
GAUUCGCACUAGGGGCGUUUUUAUAAACUGAGAUGAGGGUAACCUCAGACCCUUUGAACCUGAUCUAGUUAAAACUGGCGUAGGAAAGUGUUACAUCGAUACA